Molecule: ribosomal RNA, 467 nt
Filed under: uncultured bacterium
Lineage: Bacteria
Description: partial 16S ribosomal RNA
Rfam family: Bacterial small subunit ribosomal RNA
Source: RNAcentral
GACGAACGCUGGCGGCGUGCUUAACACAUGCAAGUCGAACGGAAAGACUCUGCUUUUGUGGGGUGCUCGAGUGGCGAACGGGUGAGUAACACGUGAGUAACCUGCCCUUGACUUUGGGAUAACUUCAGGAAACUGGGGCUAAUACCGGAUAGGAGCUCCUGCUGCAUGGUGGGGGUUGGAAAGUUUCGGCGGUUGGGGAUGGACUCGCGGCUUAUCAGCUUGUUGGUGGGGUAGUGGCUUACCAAGGCUUUGACGGGUAGCCGGCCUGAGAGGGUGACCGGCCACAUUGGGACUGAGAUACGGCCCAGACUCCUACGGGAGGCAGCAGUGGGGAAUAUUGCACAAUGGGCGGAAGCCUGAUGCAGCAACGCCGCGUGCGGGAUGACGGCCUUCGGGUUGUAAACCGCUUUCGCCUGUGACGAAGCGUGAGUGACGGGAAUGGGUAAAGAAGCACCGGCUAACUACGU